This 253-nucleotide ribosomal RNA is filed under the name uncultured bacterium. RNAcentral describes it as "partial 16S ribosomal RNA". It matches the Rfam family "Bacterial small subunit ribosomal RNA", at positions 524 to 776 of the family's 1533-position model. The record is from RNAcentral.
UACGUAGGGUGCAGGCGUUAAUCGGAAUUACUGGGCGUAAAGGGCGCGUAGGCGGCACUGUUAGUCAGGCGUGAAAGUCCUGGGCUCAACCUGGGAACUGCGCUUGAUACGGCAGAGCUAGAGGAUGGAAGAGGGUCGCGGAAUUCCCAGUGUAGAGGUGAAAUUCGUAGAUAUUGGGAAGAACACCGGUGGCGAAGGCGGCGACCUGGUCCAUUACUGACGCUGAGGCGCGACAGCGUGGGGAGCAAACAGG